RNAcentral lists this non-coding RNA (107 nucleotides) under pig gut metagenome. RNAcentral describes it as "FMN riboswitch (RFN element)". It matches the Rfam family "FMN riboswitch aptamer (RFN element)". From Rfam's summary of the family: The RFN element is a highly conserved domain that is found frequently in the 5'-untranslated regions of prokaryotic mRNAs that encode for flavin mononucleotide (FMN) biosynthesis and transport proteins. This element is a metabolite-dependent riboswitch that directly binds FMN in the absence of proteins. The record is from RNAcentral.
AUCUUCAGGGCAGGGUGAAAUUCCCGAUCGGCGGUACAGUCCGCGAGCCGCAAGGCAUGAUUUGGUGCAAUUCCAAAACCGACAGUAUAGUCUGGAUGGAAGAAGAU